UUGCAGGGGUGCUCGAGUGGCGAACGGGUGAGUAACACGUGGGUGAUCUGCCUUGUACUCUGGGAUAAGCUUGGGAAACUGGGUCUAAUACCGGAUAGGAACUGCCUUUAGUGUGGUGGUUGGAAAGUUUUUUCGGUGCAAGAUGAGCUCGCGGCCUAUCAGCUUGUUGGUGGGGUAAUGGCCUACCAAGGCGUCGACGGGUAGCCGGCCUGAGAGGGUGUACGGCCACAUUGGGACUGAAAUACGGCCCAGACUCCUACGGGAGGCAGCAGUGGGGAAUAUUGCACAAUGGGCGGAAGCCUGAUGCAGCGACGCCUCGUGGGGGAUGACGGCCUUCGGGUUGUAAACUCCUUUCGACAGGGACGAAGCUUUUUGUGACGGUACCUGUAUAAGAAGCACCGGCUAACUACGUGCCAGCAGCCGCGGUAAUACGUAGGGUGCGAGCGUUGUCCGGAAUUACUGGGCGUAAAGAGCUCGUAGGUGGUUUGUCGCGUCGUCUGUGAAAUUCCGGGGCUUAACUCCGGGCGUGCAGGCGAUACGGGCAUAACUUGAGUGCUGUAGGGGAGACUGGAAUUCCUGGUGUANCGGUGAAAUGCGCAGAUAUCAGGANGAACACCCGAUGGCGAAGGCAGGUCUCCUGGGCAGUUACUGACGCUGAGGAGCGAAAGC
This 669-nucleotide ribosomal RNA is filed under the name Corynebacterium singulare. Its description in RNAcentral is "bacterial SSU rRNA". It matches the Rfam family "Bacterial small subunit ribosomal RNA", at positions 79 to 760 of the family's 1533-position model. Lineage: Bacteria; Bacillati; Actinomycetota; Actinomycetes; Mycobacteriales; Corynebacteriaceae. The record is from RNAcentral.